GAUGAACGCUGGCGGUAUGCUUAACACAUGCAAGUCGAACGGAGUACUUUCGGGUACUUAGUGGCGGACGGGUGAGUAACGCGUGAGAACAUGCCUUUAGAUUGGGGACAACAGUUGGAAACGACUGCUAAUACCGAAUGUGCCGAAAGGUGAAAGAUUAAUUGUCUAAAGAUUGGCUCGCGUCAGAUUAGCUAGUUGGAGUGGUAACGGCACACCAAGGCGACGAUCUGUACUUGGUCUGAGAGGAUGACCAGGCACACUGGAACCGAGACACGGUCCAGACUCCUACGGGAGGCAGCAGUGGGGAAUUUUCCGCAAUGGGCGCAAGCCUGACGGAGCAAUACCGCGUGAGGGAGGAAGCUUUUUGGAGUGUAAACCUCUUUUAUUAGGGAAGAAUUGAUGACGGUACCUAAUGAAUCAGCAUCGGCUAACUCCGUGCCAGCAGCCGCGGUAAU
RNAcentral lists this ribosomal RNA (455 nucleotides) under uncultured cyanobacterium. RNAcentral describes it as "bacterial SSU rRNA". It matches the Rfam family "Bacterial small subunit ribosomal RNA", at positions 28 to 524 of the family's 1533-position model. Lineage: Bacteria; Bacillati; Cyanobacteriota. The record is from RNAcentral.